This 752-nucleotide long non-coding RNA is filed under the name Carica papaya (papaya). RNAcentral describes it as "long non-coding RNA (CPAP_LNC011295)". Lineage: Eukaryota; Viridiplantae; Streptophyta; Magnoliopsida; Brassicales; Caricaceae. The record is from RNAcentral.
UAGAUUUUUAAUAACUUAAAAUUCCUAAAUAAGAAUUGUAACCUAUAUAUAAAGGGGUAUGCUUGCUAUUAAUAAAGAUAACUAAGAAUAUUAUUUUAAAAUACGGAAUUGGAGUUCUCUCUAACGAAAUCCAAGAUAACAGCUUCUUUUGAUGAGAUGUAAUCUAUUUUCACAAAAUAGGUUGUUUAAAAAAUUACAACAAGUAAAAAAAGCAUAUUCUGUAAUUGAAAAUUCUAGAUAACCACAUAAUGACAAGAUCCUGCUCUUGUAAACAUAACAAAUUGGUAUCAAAGGCUAAUACAUUGUGUGACUUUGCAAUAAAAAAAGAUAUGCGAUUGAUGUUUCAGGAAGCUGUGGCCGCAAACGAUACACGGACUACAGAGAUUGAAAAACGAUUGGACAGUCAGUUGCAGGAGUUAUCAUCGCAAUUCAAAGAGAUACUGACCAGCUUUAAUCGUGACAGACGAACAAAAUCAGAAGGGACUACAAGCAGCAACCACUUCUAGGAACAAUCACCUCAAGUGUUUCACAUUGGAAGUCAAUUGUGAAAUGCAAACAACUCUCCAGGUAACGAAGUCAUCCCCCACUACACCAAGUUAGGCUUUCCAAUGUUUGAUAACAAUCACCUCAAGUGUUUCACAUUGGAAGUCAAUUGUGAAAUGCAAACAACUCUCCAGGUAACGAAGUCAUCCCCCACUACACCAAGUUAGGCUUUCCAAUGUUUGAUAACUUUGAAGAUCCUCUAAUAUGAU